Molecule: long non-coding RNA, 3391 nt
Organism: Musa acuminata AAA Group (dessert banana)
Lineage: Eukaryota; Viridiplantae; Streptophyta; Magnoliopsida; Zingiberales; Musaceae
Exons: 2
Source: RefSeq, a predicted model, not a curated record
CCGACCGUCGCCCGCGUCGAUCGCGUCCCUCCGAAGAGAUCGAUGGCGAUCUCCGUGAGGCUUCGAGUCGGCGCGACCGUCGCCCUGCUCUCUCCGUCCUUCCGCCUUAGAUGCCAACGCCUUGGUGCUGGAGCUCGAAAUGGCAGUGGAUUGCUACGUUUGGGUCCCCAUGGAGGUGGUCAAAUGAGUCUCUGAUCCUUCAAUUUAGGGCCCCUAGGCUUUCCUUGAUAUUUUUGGUCUAAUUGGUGAUGGGAACAAGAGUGUUCCAGAGAUGUGAUCGCCAUGAACCAGAGAAUCAAAGGAAAGAUUGAUGGUUGAAGUUAAUAUCCACGUUUUUAAUUAACGAAAAAUGUGGAUACUUUAUUUAUUUAGAUAUCAUGUUUAGAGUCGUGAAAUUGAUGGUGUUAAAUAAUUCAACAUCGAGUAUGAGUAUGUUCUGACUAAUGUAAUUAUGUCACAUAAUAUUUAGGAUAUUUGAUGUUCAUGUUCAUAUAUAGUGCUACUUCAUUUUGCUAUGCUAAAAGCUGAAUUAAUGUACAGAGAUAGGAUUUGGGAUUUCUGAAUCAAGUUUCAAAUUUACUUGAUUCCGUAACUUUCUUUUAAUCUUGGCGUCGUCUUGUGACAAUUAUUAUGCACAUUUUUCCAGCUAUAUUUGAUCUCUAGGAGAUUACGAAAACUUCGGAAAAUAGUAAAAAAACUUCCGAAAAACUUUCUUUUAAUUCCGUAGCUUUCUUUUAAUCUUGGCAUCCUCUUGUGACAAUUAUUUUCCUAUAAUGUGCACAUUUUUCCAGCUAUAAUUGAUCUCUAGGAGAUUAUGAAAACUUAAGAAAAUAGUAAAAAGACUUCCGAAAAAUCAUUUCUGGUUGAAUGAAUCCAUUCAAGUUGCGCUACACAGCCCCUCCAGUAAACGGCAGGUUGAUAAAGGGCUGGUAGCCAGGCUCGUCGAUCACUCCAUUGUUCUGAUGCUUACACAUCAUUUUCAGGCCUUUAGACCGGUAUUUGAUCGAUUAUUCAAAUUCCAUAGAAAUAGUAGGAAUUGGUUCAUGACGCAAUCUAGCAUCUUUUUUGUGUUUCAAAAUUUUGCACUUAACGUAUGUCUUAUUUUUUGGUUCCCCGUUCAUUUACAAUUUGAUUGGAAGUCGAGGCGUAUCUUAUUGAUUGAGGCAAAAAUUUGUGUGUAUGGUUUGGAGGAUGAUCAUCCAGCCCCAGUUGUUUCAUGUUUCUUAAUAGGAAAUGAGGAUUGUGAAAGUUGGGUACAGGUGACAUGAUAAUAUUUCGAUAUCCUCAUCUGACAGCAAAAGAGAAAUGCUGCCAAAUGCAUGUAGUUGUGCUUAACUGUCACUUUUGAAUCUUGUGUUACUGGUGAUCAAUAAUGCCGUCUUCUUUUGUCGAUUCAUCAUAAUGCUUUGCCAUUGACAAAGUACACAAGUAGAACUGCUGGAACUUGCCAAAACUUUAGUUCCAUUCUAGCUUUCAUUAUCAUCAUGAUUUGGUCCAUUUAACUAUUUGGUUUUUAUAUCUACUGUCAACAAACGCUUGUUUCUUUAUCCUUGCUAAUAGAGCCCUUGAGUGCACCAUCUCAGGGGGAUUGUUCCUCGAUCAAAAUAAUUCUGAUGCUUUUUUAGGUCACAUGAUCUUUGCACUCUUCAAUAAAUCCAUGUUUCUUUUGCUCUUAUUGGAACUCUUAUGAGCCUCUUGGGUUUUCUAUUUGGUUGUUCUCUAUAUGUUGAGAUGGCUUCGUUUGUGCAAGCACAUGAAACAAAUUAUGAUUGGUAUGUUAACUGGAAUUGAUUUAUUUGAUGAAAUGUAUAUGUACGGCAGAAGAAAUAACAGCCCGUCUAGCUCAGUCGGUAGAGCGCAAGGCUCUUAACCUUGUGGUCGUGGGUUCGAGCCCCACGGUGGGCGUGUUUAACUCUUUUUGAUUUAAUGCGAUUUAUUUUUUCUAAUAUUGGUGAGGUUAGAUCGAAAGAAUAUAUUUUGUCUAUAAUGGUUAAAAUGCAUACCUUUUCUCCUACUAGUGUAUUUUAGGGUAUGUUUCCAUGGAUCACACAGGCGAUCGUCUCGGUGCUUGUCCGGCUGUGCUGAAAUGAAUCAAAUGCUUCCUUAAUUGCACUGAAUAGCUGUGUAUUAUCACUACAUGUCACUCUAUUCAUAGAAGUAUGCUGAUGUACACGACUGUAGAUCAUCCAUAGGGAAGACGAAAAGUUUCGACACAGACACUAGCUAUAUCCUGCUGAGCUAUGUACUGCAGCCUCCUGCUUGCUUCAGCUCUCUUUUUCGUUCUUUGCUACUGCGGGGGCUGGUAGCUUUACAGUGGUGGUGGGUUUCAUUCGCUCAGCGGCCAAAACUCCCACCACUGUGAAUUGUUGCACGACUGGUCCGACGGCCAGCUGGUGGUCAAACAAAACUGUUGCUCGGCCGACGAGGUCAAGGAGGAGAUCGCUGGCUGUCCGGCGCACAGGUUUAGUUCGUCCUCGCUGAAGUAUCUCGGCUUCUUGUCCUCCUCGUCCGCGCAGACUGCGAACUCCAGAUCUGCUUCCUCUUUCAGCGACAGCCUCGAGCUCUGAUCCUUUUUUAUCUCGGAAUCUCGAUCGUUUGAGCCCUCGUCGUCUCUGUUGCUUCUCUCCUCUGCCUUGUCUAUCAGUUCUGCCAGGUCUUGCAGCUGCGGGUGACGGAGGAUGGGUGAGCGGUCGACGGAAGCAGCACGGGAAAAGACGAUGAUGGUGACACGGGAAGGCGGCGGUGGGUUACCUGCUGGAGCAGCAACUGCUUCUCUUUCUUCAGGGAGUCGAAGCUGGAGAGCAGUGCAUCGUAGUCGGCUUUGAGGCCGCGGUACUCCCGCUCGAGCUGCUUCGACUUCCACCGCGCCCGCUUGUUCUGGAACCAUAUGGCGACCUGGCGGGGCUGCAGGCCGAGCUCCCGCGCCAGCUGCAGCUUCUGCCGGGGCUCCAGCUUCGUCUGCGUCUCGAACAUGGACUCCAUCGACUUGAUCUGCUCCUCGCUGAACCUCCUCCUCGUCCUCCUCCUGUCACCCUUGCCCUUGCUGCUCUCCGCCGUCGGGUUCAUCCAGCUGCAGCAGUCUCCCUCCUCCGCGGCAGACUGCUCCUCCUCGCUCUCCAUCAUCUCGCAGGCUGAGCCCUCAGUCAGCCACCACCACCACCAGCAGCAGCAGCAGGGAGAGGAGGUGGGCGGAUGGAUGGAUGGAUGUGCUGCUCGAUGUCCGCCGCGGAUAAAUGCUCUUGUAGAAAGCUCGGAGACGAACUGUUCCUAAGGAGCGACUACACCUGUGCGGGAUGGAUUGCACGCCCGUCUUGUAAUUGAUUUGAUGGAACAACCGAUCCAAUGGCAGCUGCUGUCGUGGAGAAAUCAGCUUCCAUACGUCCCUUUCACA